UGGAAUUAUUUUCACAAUAGUCAUUAGUCAAUAUUAUUAUACUAAGCAACAACCAGUUUGAUUAGUACAGUAAAAAUUUAGACUUACGUUAACCAGGGGGUAAACCUACUUGUUAAGGGGAAUUAGCUAACUAGUUGUCUUGACCAUUGGGAAAAAAAUAAUCAAAAUCACAAAAUCAAAAUCAAACUUUGCGAUUUUGCAGAGAAGUCCGGAGGUCUGGAAGAGCAGCGUAACAACCAAUAUCACAAAAUACCCUCCAAUCAAAGGAAUUAAUAGUCAAAAACCCAAAAGGGAGAAUCAGAAUCAUCAAAUACCAUAAAGAAUUAAAGAUGAAUCAAUUCUACAAAACACCCAUAUGAAAUCCCCGUCGUUGAACUUUACAGGGAUGACCACGCCUGACGCCGGAGCAGUCGCCAGUCGAGCAGCGGAGCAAGAGUUGGAUUCGAUUUGAAUUAUGAGGAUAAACCUCAGUCGACAGUUAGCAGCAGAACAGAUAGUUGAAUUUCAGAUUUUGAAUUUGAAUUUUAGGAAUUUUGGAUUAGAGACUAUAACAACUAUAAGGCUAGGCCGAAAGCAAAAGAAGAGGAAUUAUAAAUUCAUUAGUUACCAAUUAAUGUCUUGGGUUGAAAACCGGGGGAUCCAGAUACUGAAAGAAGGAAAUGAAUCCAUAUCCAUUUUUGUCACGUGAUUCCAAUACUUGUUGUUGGGUUCUAAAAUUUAAUCGAUCAAUUGCUUGAUGCACAAUCCAAAGCUCUAGCCCAGGUUUCAAUCUGAUUCCUGUCUAAAACAGCCCAGGAAAUAACACCAUUAACCUAGCUUAGGGUAAUGUUAAGUCUCCCGUCAUCAUCAAAAUAUUUCACAUCAUUAAUUAAUUUUCAGCCCUCCUGCUCCUGCUCCUGCUCCUGCUCCUGCAGGUAAAUGGUGGUUGGGCGUGGUCCCUUGCUUUUUACCCAAUCUUUCAAUUUUUGGGCUGAAUUCUGUAGCCUAAACGGCGAUUUAGGCGGCCAAAUUAGUUGUCAUUUGCUUUCAUGAUGAGUUGAUUAUACCAGCACGAGGAGGAAAUAGGCGCUGGCUACGAUGGUGGUCAUGUAAACCACCGCCUUGGUCAUUUUAUGGAUCGAUGAUGAAAAUCUUGUAUUAAUUUUGCUUUCAUGACAAAUACAUACAUACAUACAUACCGUUGUUGCCCUUUAUUCAUUCUUCAAUUAAUAUAUAUGUUUUGUCUCAAAUACAUAAUUAAUUAAUUAAUUAAUUACUAUAUAUAUAUAUAUAUGUUUAUAUCUAGUACUUGUGCAUGGCUGAUUCCUAAUUUAAUGGAUAUAUAGUGCUCGCUCGCUCUCUACUAACAUUAAUCCUAUAUAGUAGGAGUAUUGAAAAUGUGCAUCCAUCUUGAUCUAAAAGUAUUUUUACUUUGUUAUAUUGGAAUUUUG
Molecule: long non-coding RNA, 1430 nt
Filed under: Panax ginseng (ginseng)
Lineage: Eukaryota; Viridiplantae; Streptophyta; Magnoliopsida; Apiales; Araliaceae
Description: long non-coding RNA (PGIN_LNC009840)
Source: RNAcentral